Molecule: long non-coding RNA, 947 nt
Filed under: Oryza sativa aus subgroup
Lineage: Eukaryota; Viridiplantae; Streptophyta; Magnoliopsida; Poales; Poaceae
Description: lncRNA OsN22_07G014860
Source: RNAcentral
UCUCCCACGAGCUAGUAUUGGCAAGAAACCUAGCUCAUCAGUCAUCACGUAAAUAAAUUAAAACCAACAAGUCAUACGAUCUCCAUCCAUCUCACACGAUGCAGCGCGGCGCCGCCACUGCCAUGCCCACGCUCUUGAUGACCAUCUUCCUCGUGGCUCUCGUAUCCGGUGGCCGGGUAGCGUCGCAGCCGCAGCCGCAGGAGGCGCCAGCGCCGGCGCCGGAGGGCACCGGGAGCAGUAGCGGCGCCUGCACCGCCGUGCUAGCCAAGCUGGCGGACUGCGUGCAGUACGCCACCGCGGGCAGCCCGCUGAGGCAGCCGCCGGGGAGCUGCUGCACCGAGGUGGAGCGCGGCGUGAAGGACCCCGCCGCCGUCGGCUGCGUCUGCACCCUCCUCGCCGGCAACACCUACGGCCUCCCUCUCAACCUCACGCGCGCCGCUGGCCUCCCCGCCGCCUGCGGCGCCCCGCCCACCGCCCUCAGCAACUGCAAUGGUACACACAUGUCUUGAAUGCAUGUUACGUUUUCCCUUUAAUUUCUUCCUGUUUUUUAUAUAUAAUCUAUUCUUUUCAUAAUAUAAGUUGUUUUGACUUUCUUUUUUAUCAAUCUUUGUUAAAUUUAAUUAAGUUUAUAGAAAAAAAAUAGUAAUAUUUGGGCCGGUUUGUUUGGCAGAGCUCUAAAUCUGAUACGAAAUUAGAAUUAAUUAUAUUCUUUAGUCCCAGUUCCUAUUCAAACGGGGACAAAUGUGAUUUUUGGCAUAGUAGUGUAUAAAGAUGGAAAUGCAUGCUUUAAAUUUAAAUCUCUAUUUUGGUCCUCGUCGUUUUAUGCAGUGCCUUCACCAAAAGGUGGAGACAGAUCUGGUUCAUCACCCAAGUCCGCGGUCACUCCAGCCCCGAUCACAAUAGUCGUCUUCGUCGCCACAGUAGCAGCUGUCUUCUGCUACCUCUAA